Molecule: ribosomal RNA, 29 nt
Filed under: Fusarium proliferatum
Lineage: Eukaryota; Fungi; Ascomycota; Sordariomycetes; Hypocreales; Nectriaceae
Description: partial 18S ribosomal RNA
Source: RNAcentral
ACGGAGGGUUCACUCCCAACCCCUGUGAA